RNAcentral lists this long non-coding RNA (256 nucleotides) under Medicago truncatula (barrel medic). RNAcentral describes it as "long non-coding RNA (MTRU_LNC005670)". Lineage: Eukaryota; Viridiplantae; Streptophyta; Magnoliopsida; Fabales; Fabaceae. The record is from RNAcentral.
GCAAAUGCAAUGCCUAGGUAGUGCUAGCUAAAAUCUCGUGCAUUGUAAUUGAAUUCAUAUAUUCCCCAUCUUCUCCCUAGACACCUAUUCCCCCACACACUUGCCAUGUCAUCGCAUUCAAGCCAGCCUGUUUCCACGUGGCAUUUCUGAAUUUUUAGGCCCACAAUCCCAAAGACUCUCCGCUCCUCCUCCACUUUCACACCAGGAUAGAUUUUGGAGGCUGCUCUUUGUUUUUUUGUUUCUCUGUUCUUCUGGA